Molecule: ribosomal RNA, 492 nt
Filed under: uncultured bacterium
Lineage: Bacteria
Description: bacterial SSU rRNA
Rfam family: Bacterial small subunit ribosomal RNA
Source: RNAcentral
AACGAACGCUGGCGGCGUGGAUAAGACAUGCAAGUCGAACGGGAUUCCUUUCGGUAGCAAUACUGAGAGGGAUUUAGUGGCGAACGGGUGCGUAACACGUAGGCAAUCUGCCGAAAAGUGGGGGAUAGCUCGCCGAAAGGCGAAUUAAUACCGCAUAUGAUCAGAGGCGACAUCGCUUCGAAAUCAAAGGUGCUGCAAGGUACCGCUUUUUGAGGAGCCCGCGGCCUAUCAGCUAGUUGGUGAGGUAACGGCUCACCAAGGCUUUGACGGGUAGCUGGUCUGAGAGGACGACCAGUCACACUGGAACUGAGACACGGUCCAGACACCUACGGGUGGCAGCAGUCGAGAAUUUUUCUCAAUGGGGGCAACCCUGAAGGAGCGACGCCGCGUGGAGGAUGAAGGCUUUCGGGUUGUAAACUCCUGUCAUUUGAGAACAAGUGCCAAACAAGUAACUACUGUUGGCUUGAUAGUAUCAGAAGAGGAAGGGACGGC